Long non-coding RNA from Talpa occidentalis (Iberian mole), 800 nucleotides. RefSeq lists it as uncharacterized. Lineage: Eukaryota; Metazoa; Chordata; Mammalia; Eulipotyphla; Talpidae. The record is from RefSeq and is a predicted model, not a curated record. The transcript has 4 exons.
UGUCAUCGGGCUCUGGGGAGGGUGGAGCUGCUGUGCGUUGCCAAGACAUAAUGCAAAAGCCCUGUGGGUGGCAUAAUGUAGUAUUCAUCUCUCCCACCACGCAGAGAGGGGGCAGGCAGAACAAUCCAGACUCUGUCAGCAAGGGGAGUUUAGGUCUUGCUAAGGAAAAUGGGGUUCAAAAAGGUGACCUUGAUAGGAGAUUAUACUUUGUGCAGGGAAAUCUGGACAAAAAACUUGGGCGUCAAUGCCACGUUUCUCCAAAAGAGUAAACAUUGACCCCGCAUCUACACACACCAUCAUUUUGAGCCAGCCUCCUGUAGGUUGCUACUGAGCCACAGGCUAGUAGUUAGCUGCAAGACAAAUGUCUAACAGAGCCCAUCGAGCCUUACCUGCCUUUCUGACAUGAUGUAGAGCUGCUCGUGGUCCUUGGAGAAAGCCAUGUCCCGGAGGAUGGGGCCAGGCUCCACCACCUGCACAGUCUCAUACUGGAGAGCAUUGCCCCUGGGGCCAUCCACCCGGAUCUGUGGAAAAGAGAAAAGGAAAGUUGAGAAAACUGAAGGAAAGCAUUCAUUCAUCCAUCUGCUGAAAAAUUCUCAGACAAGACAGGAGCCUCUGAUGGGAUUUGCCAAAGGAUGGAUAAUUAUGAACUGUAUGUAGGUCUGGCUGCUUACAUGAACAACAACAACAUGAAUCACUAAUGAUUGAGGGGUUACUGUGAGUUGGGUGUGAUGCCAGGCAUUCUACAGUAUUUGUCUUCUUAUUAAAAUCUCAUCACUCCGUGAAGUAGCACUAAUAUUCAC